Molecule: long non-coding RNA, 369 nt
Organism: Eubalaena glacialis (North Atlantic right whale)
Lineage: Eukaryota; Metazoa; Chordata; Mammalia; Artiodactyla; Balaenidae
Exons: 3
Source: RefSeq, a predicted model, not a curated record
UGGACUCUUGUAACCAGCUCACUGGAUCAGUUGCUGGAAGACUGUUAUACUGCGUAUGCUGAAGGAGAACUGACGUUCAUGACCAAGUUGCUUUCAAGGGCAGUUCAAAGUGUUGGCUGACAAGGCUGUGCUUGGCUGAUACUUUCCUUUUGGAGUACAUUCUGUCAUUGCUGGCAUGGUGCAUUCACCAUAUGACCUGUCAUUCUCCAGACAACCUCCAAGGGAGGUAUUACCAUCACCAUGCUACAGAUGAAGAAACUGAAGCUAACAAAGGGGAGAUGCCUACAUUCUUUCUCACAACCUUCAACUUUGCAGCUGACCAUGAAUGAACGGGUGAACGAAUACACGCUAAACUAUCGAAGUUUAUAG